Molecule: long non-coding RNA, 2994 nt
Organism: Papaver somniferum (opium poppy)
Lineage: Eukaryota; Viridiplantae; Streptophyta; Magnoliopsida; Ranunculales; Papaveraceae
Exons: 8
Source: RefSeq, a predicted model, not a curated record
UUUCGACAAAUAUUCUAUUGUUUUAUCAAUGUUUUUUCUGAGCGGAGAAACCAGGGAAGAAAGUGAUUUUGCCAUCGAUUGUGGAUGAUCAACAAAGCCGAAUGAAGAGAUUUAGCACAAAUUAUUCAGGGCUGCUGGGAUUGGUCGUACUGUAGUUAACAUUGAAAACACUUGGGAAGCCAAUUGCUGGGGAAGAGUUUGGAAGAAUUAGAAACACUAAAUCUAAAAAUUCAGGAAGGUCUCAGGUGAUGAUGGAUCGAUCUUCUCACAUAAGUUGUUGCUGUGACUGUGGAUGGCAUGAAUUACGCUCCGCGCUUCAUGAAGCAAAUAUUGGACUUGGAAUUGGCUUUGCUCUGUAUUAUAAGGCAAAUAAUAGUGACCACCAUGUUGCCUUCAAGAUUUUAAUACCUAUUAAGUUAAUAUGCUCCAUGGAACAACACUCGCAUAUAUGUAUCAGAAUUUAAUGGUUUGGAAAAGGCAAUGAGGUAUGUGGUUGGUGCUGGAGCGCAGGAAAAGGCAGCCACUGCAGAAAGAGUAAUAGUUUUUAUCUUCCUUUCUUUUAUCCCUUUUUAAUAUAUAGGAAGUUCAUUGUUACAGUAAAUCUUAGAUCUCAACUAAGAGGCAGUGUGGAAAACUAACUAAAUAUGUAAUGGAGAUGUAACUAAUUAUUCUAAUUGACUGCUAUAAGCACGUUAGAUGUGUAGCUUGGUGCAAUGCUGAAUAAUAGGUUAGCUCAAUGUGAUAUGAUUGCACCAAGUAUCUGAUAUUUCUCCACACUGAUACACUUUAUAGAGGUUUCUUUGGAGUUCUUUCUUUAUUGAUUUAUUGAACCAGGCCAGUUGGUAUGUGGGAAUUGCUGGUGGAGCUGUGCAUUAGAAUUGGUUGAGGUGUUACUGAUAUUAAUAACACCACACUGCUUGACGAAUUACCAGUUGGUAUGUGAGAAUUUUAAGAUGAAUUUAGUUGUCUUCUUCCCAAGUACCUAGACUUUUUUGAUGGUAACUAAUUUGUCCUCUAUACUACUCAUAUAGAUUCAUAGUGAUAAAAGAGAUAUUGAAUUGCAAACUAUGUUAUAUGCCUAAAAGCUGAACAUUACUUUUCUUGGUACUUUUUGCAGGGUCUUGAGGGUAUGGCCUGUAUGAGCUUCUUAAAUUGUUUGUAUAUGAGUAGUCUUACAUGGGAAUUAAGAUUCAUAUAUGAAUUUAAUGCUGGGGUGGUUAUACGUAGUAAUUGCUUAUAACAUUGUGCCAGGAAAAUCACUUUCUCCUUUAGAUAUGCAACCCAAGUAUACACCAACAUCAACACACCUGCAACAAAUGAAAUUCGAGAGAGGUUAAUUGGUGCAGUGUAUUGUAUAUCAUACACCAUUACUAUAGAGAAAGUGUGCAUAUGGAACUGGGGAGAUGCAUGCUACAUAAUCGUUUGGAAGUUUGAUAAACAAAACCACAAAGGGAAAAUAGCACCUGACCCCAGAGAAAGAGUACACUAAGGAAUUGACAUGAGUCUCUACAAUGAAUGACCCAAGAACUUCGCGUGUACCAUUAUUGGAAGCUGAUGGUGCCAUUCUUGCAUAUCAGUUACUACAAUUAUUCAUGUUUCCAUGUUGACUCUAACAGAUCAACUUCCGGGAGUCAAGGUGAUUUACGGUAUGUCCUUUUUUACAAUUCGAUAAAGGAUUUUUACCCUGAUCCUGGAUGCCCUCGAAUAUUUUUCUAUGAUUUGAUGUUUCGGCUCCACUUGAAGAUCGACAAACCCGGUAAGAGCUUUUUGUUUCCAUGCUUUCCCCCCACUUUUGUUUGAUUUUGUUCAGAGUACAUAUGGGUGUUAGUGAUAAUGGAGAACAUUUUGUUUCCCCUAAUUUUUUUGGGAGGGAACGUUACUUAUAGUAACUUGCUUCCCUUAGUAUUUUAGGUUCACAUUUUAGGCGUGUUAGGAUGCCGCACUUUCUGCUUACGGAGCAAAAAAAAAAAAAAAAAACAUUAUUCAGGUACUAGCCCCCUUUCGUUGAAUAUCUAUAUUUCUAAGUCUGUUGCUGUGGGGUUUUGAGAGUGGUUUGAACUAAAAGUUUCCGAGAAGGCGAGAACCGAUGAAAGCCAAGUUUAAUGUCACUGUCAAAAUUGAGAGUUUUGUCAAUGUGUGAGAUUUCUGGGGCUUUUGCAGAUACUUUAUAUCAUCAAGUAUAUAAAUAGCGUCUAUAAACUGGAACUAAAGUUGAUUUUUCCAAUUCGUUCAAGUAUAUAUAUACUUCGCUUAGUGUCAUUAUUGGAAGCUUUAUCGUUUCCUUUAAUUCUUUUGUGGUUUUAUUUAAUAGUUUUGGGUUUACCAUUCUGAUAUUGUAUUUUCACAUUAUCAACAAGUCAGGUGAUUUUCAGAAAUAUUUUGUGUAUUGGAUUUUACUCUUUCUGAAGCAACUUAUAAUUCAAUCUCAUCAUGUAUUUAUCAAACUUUUAGAUUUGGCGUUACUUCAAGUCAAGACAGUGACACAAUUUUCCUGGACAGUGUAUGCAAGACUUGGACUGCUUGGACUGCGGAAGCAGUAGCUUAUCUAAAAAUAUAUGCAAGACUUGGUCUUUAGAUGACGCCUAUCGGUCAAGCCCCAAAGUGUUAGAUCAAAAGCCUUGCGCAGGAAAUUGAUACACAAAGGUGUUAGAUCAAAGCCUUGCUAAAGAUUAUAACAGUAACAGUAAGGGCUUACUCUUUCUUUGGUUGUCUUAGCUCAAGAGGUAGAGCGCAUGGCUUUUAGUCACGAGGUUGUGGGUUCGGCUCCCACAGACAAUGACUUUGUAUAUUAGAAGAAGUUUGCUAUGCCCGGUGCGAAGCACGGGCACAAAUCUAGUAUACUCUAAUUUGGAAUAGAUAAGUUUACUAGAUAUGAGAACACGUGACCUCUUUUCCUGAGCGCGCACCUGCAAGGCGAUAAAUUAUAAUUGAAACAUAACCUACCUUGUACUUGACAAUUUAAUCUAACAAGGACGUGACCUCUUUUCUUCUUCA